This is a long non-coding RNA of Corvus hawaiiensis (hawaiian crow), 282 nucleotides long. RefSeq lists it as uncharacterized. The transcript has 2 exons. The record is from RefSeq and is a predicted model, not a curated record. Lineage: Eukaryota; Metazoa; Chordata; Aves; Passeriformes; Corvidae.
CCUUGUUGGUGGGCACGGAGCGGAGCCGCUUGAAGAUGGCGGCGAUGUCCUGCUUGCUGGGCUCGCACAUGGCGCCGGGGGAGCCGGUCAUCACACACCGUAAAAACCUGAGGGGUGUAUGACCCAGGGUACCUGUGAGGCUGUUGGCUGAAGACAUUUUCAAGCAGAAGAGUAAAAGAAAUGGACCUCUCUGGACAUAGCAGUCAUGUAGCCUUCCUCUGAGAUAGAGUCAUAUUCAACUAUUAAAAAAAAUAUAAGAUUAUUAAAAGUAAUAUUGGCAUA